RNAcentral lists this ribosomal RNA (492 nucleotides) under uncultured bacterium. Its description in RNAcentral is "partial 16S ribosomal RNA". It matches the Rfam family "Bacterial small subunit ribosomal RNA", at positions 29 to 507 of the family's 1533-position model. The record is from RNAcentral.
AGUGAACGCUGGCGGUAGGCCUAACACAUGCAAGUCGAACGGCAGCACAGUAAGAGCUUGCUCUUACGGGUGGCGAGUGGCGGACGGGUGAGGAAUACAUCGGAAUCUACUUUUUCGUGGGGGAUAACGUAGGGAAACUUACGCUAAUACCGCAUCCGACCUACGGGUGAAAGCAGGGGAUCUUCGGACCUUGCGCGAUUGAAUGAGCCGAUGUCGGAUUAGCUAGUUGGCGGGGUAAAGGCCCACCAAGGCGACGAUCCGUAGCUGGUCUGAGAGGAGGAUAAGCCACACUGGAACUGGGACACGGUCCAGACUCCUACGGGAGGCAGCAGUGGGGAAUAUUGGACAAUGGGCGCAAGCCUGAUCCAGCCAUACCGCGUGGGUGAAGAAGGCCUUCGGGUUGUAAAGCCCUUUUGUUGGGAAAGAAAAGCAGCAGGUUAAUACCCCGCGGUUCUGACGGUACCCAAAGAAUAAGCACCGGCUAACUUCGUG